RNAcentral lists this ribosomal RNA (524 nucleotides) under uncultured bacterium. RNAcentral describes it as "partial 16S ribosomal RNA". It matches the Rfam family "Bacterial small subunit ribosomal RNA", at positions 28 to 523 of the family's 1533-position model. The record is from RNAcentral.
GACGAACGCUGGCGGCGUGCCUAAUACAUGCAAGUCGAGCGCAGGAAAUCAUCCGAACCCUUCGGGGGGACGUUGAUGGAAUGAGCGGCGGACGGGUGAGUAACACGUAAAGAACCUGCCCUCAGGUCUGGGAUAACCACGAGAAAUCGGGGCUAAUACCGGAUGGGUCAUCGGACCGCAUGGUCCGAGGAUGAAAGGCGCUUUGGCGUCGCCUGGGGAUGGCUUUGCGGUGCAUUAGCUAGUUGGUGGGGUAAUGGCCCACCAAGGCGACGAUGCAUAGCCGACCUGAGAGGGUGAUCGGCCACACUGGGACUGAGACACGGCCCAGACUCCUACGGGAGGCAGCAGUAGGGAAUCUUCCACAAUGGACGAAAGUCUGAUGGAGCAACGCCGCGUGAACGAUGAAGGCCUUCGGGUCGUAAAGUUCUGUUGUAAGGGAAGAACAAGUGCCGCAGGCAAUGGCGGCACCUUGACGGUACCUUGCGAGAAAGCCACGGCUAACUACGUGCCAGCCGCCGCAGUAA